This is a non-coding RNA of Acanthosepion pharaonis, 114 nucleotides long. Lineage: Eukaryota; Metazoa; Mollusca; Cephalopoda; Sepiida; Sepiidae. The record is from the annotation of a GenBank genome assembly.
UUACGGCCGUAUCACGUUGAAACACCGGUUCUCGUACGAUCAACAAAGUUAAGCAACGUCGAGCCGGGUCAGCACUCAAGUGAUUGACCGCUUGCGAAUACCAGGUGCUGUAAG